RNAcentral lists this ribosomal RNA (181 nucleotides) under uncultured Enterococcus sp. RNAcentral describes it as "partial 16S ribosomal RNA". It matches the Rfam family "Bacterial small subunit ribosomal RNA", at positions 359 to 537 of the family's 1533-position model. The record is from RNAcentral. Lineage: Bacteria; Bacillati; Bacillota; Bacilli; Lactobacillales; Enterococcaceae.
GGGGCUUCGGCAUCACGAAGUCUGACCGAGCACGCCGCGUGAGUGAAGAAGGUUUUCGGAUCGUAAAACUCUGUUGUUAGAGAAGAACAAGGAUGAGAGUAACUGUUCAUCCCUUGACGGUAUCUAACCAGAAAGCCACGGCUAACUACGUGCCAGCAGCCGCGGUAAAAAGCGGUAAUAA